CCCUUAGAUGUUCUGGGCCGCACGCGCGCUACACUGUUCGACGCAGCGAGUCUUAACCUUGACCGAAAGGUUUGGGUAAUCUUCAGCAAAGUCGAACGUGAUGGGGAUCGAUCAUUGCAAUUAUUGAUCGUGAACGAGGAAUUCCUAGUAAGUGCAAGUCAUCAGCUUGUGCUGAUUACGUCCCUGCCCUUUGUACACACCGCCCGUCGCUACUACCGAUUGAAUGGUUUAGUGAGAUCUCUGGAUUGACGCUGGCUAGGGGGCGACCCUUGGCCAGACUGUUGAGAAACUGCUCAAACUUGAUCAUUUAGAGGAAGUAAAAGUCGUAACA
RNAcentral lists this ribosomal RNA (331 nucleotides) under uncultured eukaryote. RNAcentral describes it as "partial 18S ribosomal RNA". It matches the Rfam family "Eukaryotic small subunit ribosomal RNA", at positions 1470 to 1796 of the family's 1831-position model. The record is from RNAcentral.